CAAAUCUUUUGUGUGGGUGUGGAGGGGGGAGUGCGGGAGGUUUAGCUAGGCAAUUUAUAUUUAUUUUGCUUGGCCGAUCUGACCGCAUACACCCAUACCACCCACAACAUUGGCACAGGGCCGCAAGGCUCUGAUGUUUACGCUUGUUUGUUUGACAGAUUUACUUGAGACUAAAAUAUAGA
This 182-nucleotide unclassified non-coding RNA is filed under the name uncultured Rozellomycota. Its description in RNAcentral is "uncultured Cryptomycota sequence contains ITS1". Lineage: Eukaryota; Fungi; Rozellomycota. The record is from RNAcentral.